Paramuricea clavata is the source of this 255-nucleotide non-coding RNA. NCBI's taxonomy places the organism in Eukaryota, Metazoa, Cnidaria, Anthozoa, Malacalcyonacea, Plexauridae. The record is from the annotation of a GenBank genome assembly.
AAAAAAUUCAUAUUACAAGAACACAUUGGUAUUGAAGGAACUAGAUACUGUUCCGAAAUAUCACUUACUCGAACCGUCCUGACCGCGUAGCUCAGUUGGAAGAGCAUUGGGUUAGUAUUCCAAAGGUCGUAGGUUCGAAUGCCACCGUGGCCGGGCAUAUUUUUCAAGCUCGCCCGGUGUGGAUAUGCACUCAGAGUAACAUUACAAACAUAUUAUUCACCUGAGUACACAACACCAGCACAGAAAAAAAACAAC